RNAcentral lists this long non-coding RNA (351 nucleotides) under Carassius auratus (goldfish). Its description in RNAcentral is "lncRNA (ENSCARG00000017248.1)". The record is from RNAcentral. Lineage: Eukaryota; Metazoa; Chordata; Actinopteri; Cypriniformes; Cyprinidae.
AUGACCGGUCAUACAGACCGCAUCGACACGGAUAGCUGUCGUACAGACCAAUUGCUCUCCAGCUGGAGGAAGUGCUGCUUUAUAAUCACAGAACAUUCACUCACUAUUAAAGUGAUUCUGGCUGCUAGAGAGGAGAACAUAUCCUACAGCAUGAAAAAGUCAAGUCAACAGUUCACAUUGUUCACUCUAAACAAGAAUUUCACUUCAUCAGAAAGUUCAGUCCUCAAAAAAAAAGCUGCAUGCAGAAUCUGGAUUGUUGGGACUGCUACAUUGGACGUGGUGAAAAGCGAGCAAGGGAAACCAUGGGCACCAAUCUCAGUGUGUCCUCCCAGGUCCAGUGGUUUGGGGUGA